RNAcentral lists this ribosomal RNA (476 nucleotides) under uncultured Enterococcus sp. RNAcentral's name for it is "bacterial SSU rRNA". It matches the Rfam family "Bacterial small subunit ribosomal RNA", at positions 64 to 529 of the family's 1533-position model. The record is from RNAcentral. Lineage: Bacteria; Bacillati; Bacillota; Bacilli; Lactobacillales; Enterococcaceae.
GAGUGCUUGCACUCAAUUGGAAAGAGGAGUGGCGGACGGGUGAGUAACACGUGGGUAACCUACCCAUCAGAGGGGGAUAACACUUGGAAACAGGUGCUAAUACCGCAUAACAGUUUAUGCCGCAUGGCAUAAGAGUGAAAGGCGCUUUCGGGUGUCGCUGAUGGAUGGACCCGCGGUGCAUUAGCUAGUUGGUGAGGUAACGGCUCACCAAGGCCACGAUGCAUAGCCGACCUGAGAGGGUGAUCGGCCACACUGGGACUGAGACACGGCCCAGACUCCUACGGGAGGCAGCAGUAGGGAAUCUUCGGCAAUGGACGAAAGUCUGACCGAGCAACGCCGCGUGAGUGAAGAAGGUUUUCGGAUCGUAAAACUCUGUUGUUAGAGAAGAACAAGGACGUUAGUAACUGAACGUCCCCUGACGGUAUCUAACCAGAAAGCCACGGCUAACUACGUGCCAGCAGCCGCGGUAAUACGUA